RNAcentral lists this transfer RNA (81 nucleotides) under Podarcis lilfordi (Lilford's wall lizard). Its description in RNAcentral is "tRNA.Ile". Lineage: Eukaryota; Metazoa; Chordata; Lepidosauria; Squamata; Lacertidae. The record is from RNAcentral.
GCAGUGGGUAGCUGAGCUGGUUAGAGCGUAGUGCUGAUAACGCCAAGGUUGCAGGUUUGAUCCCUGUAUGGGCCAGCUGCA